RNAcentral lists this ribosomal RNA (389 nucleotides) under uncultured bacterium. RNAcentral's name for it is "bacterial SSU rRNA". It matches the Rfam family "Bacterial small subunit ribosomal RNA", at positions 30 to 419 of the family's 1533-position model. The record is from RNAcentral.
AUUGAACGCUGGCGGCAUGCCUUACACAUGCAAGUCGAACGGCAGCACGGGAGCAAUCCUGGUGGCGAGUGGCGAACGGGUGAGUAAUAUAUCGGAACGUGCCCAGUCGUGGGGAUAACGUAGCGAAAGUUACGCUAAUACCGCAUACGAUCUAAGGAUGAAAGCGGGGGACUCGCAAGAGCCUCGCGCGAUUGGAGCGGCCGAUAUCAGAUUAGGUAGUUGUGGGGUAAAGGCUCACCAAGCCAACGAUCUGUAGCUGGUCUGAGAGGACGACCAGCCACACUGGAACUGAGACACGGCCCAGACUCCUACGGGAGGCAGCAGUGGGGAAUUUUGGACAAUGGGCGCAAGCCUGAUCCAGCAAUGCCGCGUGCAGGAUGAAGGCCUUC